Molecule: ribosomal RNA, 1329 nt
Filed under: Staphylococcus aureus
Lineage: Bacteria; Bacillati; Bacillota; Bacilli; Caryophanales; Staphylococcaceae
Description: partial 23S ribosomal RNA
Rfam family: Bacterial large subunit ribosomal RNA
Source: RNAcentral
CGAUUCCCUUAGUAGCGGCGAGCGAAACGGGAAGAGCCCAAACCAAAAAGCUUGCUUGUUGGGGUUGUAGGACACUCUAUACGGAGUUACAAAGGACGACAUUAGACGAAUCAUCUGGAAAGAUGAAUCAAAGAAGGUAAUAAUCCUGUAGUCGAAAAUGUUGUCUCUCUUGAGUGGAUCCUGAGUACGACGGAGCACGUGAAAUUCCGUCGGAAUCUGGGAGGACCAUCUCCUAAGGCUAAAUACUCUCUAGUGACCGAUAGUGAACCAGUACCGUGAGGGAAAGGUGAAAAGCACCCCGGAAGGGGAGUGAAAUAGAACCUGAAACCGUGUGCUUACAAGUAGUCAGAGCCCGUUAAUGGGUGAUGGCGUGCCUUUUGUAGAAUGAACCGGCGAGUUACGAUUUGAUGCAAGGUUAAGCAGUAAAUGUGGAGCCGUAGCGAAAGCGAGUCUGAAUAGGGCGUUUAGUAUUUGGUCGUAGACCCGAAACCAGGUGAUCUACCCUUGGUCAGGUUGAAGUUCAGGUAACACUGAAUGGAGGACCGAACCGACUUACGUUGAAAAGUGAGCGGAUGAACUGAGGGUAGCGGAGAAAUUCCAAUCGAACCUGGAGAUAGCUGGUUCUCUCCGAAAUAGCUUUAGGGCUAGCCUCAAGUGAUGAUUAUUGGAGGUAGAGCACUGUUUGGACGAGGGGCCCCUCUCGGGUUACCGAAUUCAGACAAACUCCGAAUGCCAAUUAAUUUAACUUGGGAGUCAGAACAUGGGUGAUAAGGUCCGUGUUCGAAAGGGAAACAGCCCAGACCACCAGCUAAGGUCCCAAAAUAUAUGUUAAGUGGAAAAGGAUGUGGCGUUGCCCAGACAACUAGGAUGUUGGCUUAGAAGCAGCCAUCAUUUAAAGAGUGCGUAAUAGCUCACUAGUCGAGUGACACUGCGCCGAAAAUGUACCGGGGCUAAACAUAUUACCGAAGCUGUGGAUUGUCCUUUGGACAAUGGUAGGAGAGCGUUCUAAGGGCGUUGAAGCAUGAUCGUAAGGACAUGUGGAGCGCUUAGAAGUGAGAAUGCCGGUGUGAGUAGCGAAAGACGGGUGAGAAUCCCGUCCACCGAUUGACUAAGGUUUCCAGAGGAAGGCUCGUCCGCUCUGGGUUAGUCGGGUCCUAAGCUGAGGCCGACAGGCGUAGGCGAUGGAUAACAGGUUGAUAUUCCUGUACCACCUAUAAUCGUUUUAAUCGAUGGGGGGACGCAGUAGGAUAGGCGAAGCGUGCGAUUGGAUUGCACGUCUAAGCAGUAAGGCUGAGUAUUAGGCAAAUCCGGUACUCGUUAAGGCUGAGC